This 493-nucleotide ribosomal RNA is filed under the name uncultured microorganism. RNAcentral's name for it is "bacterial SSU rRNA". It matches the Rfam family "Bacterial small subunit ribosomal RNA", at positions 9 to 484 of the family's 1533-position model. The record is from RNAcentral.
GAGUUUGAUCGUGGCUCAGGAUGAACGCUGGCGGCGUGCCUAAUACAUGCAAGUAGAACGCUGAAGCUUGGUGCUUGCACCGAGCGGAUGAGUUGCGAACGGGUGAGUAACGCGUAGGUAACCUGCCUGGUAGCGGGGGAUAACUAUUGGAAACGAUAGCUAAUACCGCAUAACAGUAGAUAUUGCAUGAUAUCUGCUUGAAAGGUGCAAUUGCAUCACUACCAGAUGGACCUGCGUUGUAUUAGCUAGUUGGUGAGGUAACGGCUCACCAAGGCGACGAUACAUAGCCGACCUGAGAGGGUGAUCGGCCACACUGGGACUGAGACACGGCCCAGACUCCUACGGGAGGCAGCAGUAGGGAAUCUUCGGCAAUGGGGGAACCCGUGACCGAGCAACGCCGCGUGAGUGAAGAAGGUUUUCGGAUCGUAAAGCUCUGUUGUAAGAGAAGAACGAGUGUGAGAGUGGAAAGUUCACACUGUGACGGUAUCUUACC